GCACGAUCCCAGAAAGACCAAGAUCAUGAGCGACGGAAAUUGGGUUCCUCGGAAAGUUCUUGGAGCUGUCCCUCAUGAUAUUGGGUUCAACGAUCCUUGGUUUGAAGUAAAUGCUUACAACCUUUUGAACGUCACCAGAUGGAAGGAUUUAGCUUCCAAAUUCGUUCUUCAGGUUUACAGAGAUGUGGUUGCUACAGGGGAUAAGAAUUUUGCACAAUCUGUUUGGCCUUCGGUGUAUGUGGCCUUGGCUUUUAUGGAACAAUUUGAUAAAGAUAAAGAUGGAAUGGUUGAGAAUGAGGGGUUUCCUGAUCAGACUUAUGAUACUUGGACUGUGAAGGGUGUGAGUGCCUAUUGCGGUGGCCUGUGGGUGGCUGCUCUUCAGGCGGCUUCAGCAUUGGCUUCUGAGGUUGAUGAUGAUGCCGCUGCUCAUUACUUUUGGAUCAAGUAUCAGAAGGCGAGAAGUGUUUAUGACACCUUAUGGAAUGGCUCCUACUUCAACUAUGACAAUAGUAAGGGUCCUUGGAGUUCGUCUAUUCAAGCUGAUCAACUGGCUGGACAAUGGUAUGCUAGAG
RNAcentral lists this unclassified non-coding RNA (572 nucleotides) under Hevea brasiliensis (rubber tree). Lineage: Eukaryota; Viridiplantae; Streptophyta; Magnoliopsida; Malpighiales; Euphorbiaceae. The record is from RNAcentral.